Molecule: long non-coding RNA, 395 nt
Organism: Neopelma chrysocephalum (saffron-crested tyrant-manakin)
Lineage: Eukaryota; Metazoa; Chordata; Aves; Passeriformes; Pipridae
Exons: 3
Source: RefSeq, a predicted model, not a curated record
GGAAGGGACCGUACCCCGUCCCUCUGCAUCACGGGCCUUCCAGAGCCAGACCAAGAGCUGGAGAGAACAGCACAGGUCCCUGCAAGGACGUGGCCACACCACAGACAUGUUCCCCCAGGACGGGCAGGGCCUCUGCUCCCAAAUCCAUCACCGCAGCACCCCGUGAGCCGCCAGCAGCACCCCGAGUGUCCCCGCUGGCUGCGGGGAAGGAACCACUCUCCCUCCACCACCGCUGCUCCUUUUACCAGCCUGGACCCUUCAGGUUUGUGCCUGAUGCCUCACCAGGAAAAUAUGUGCAGGAGUGCGGGACGGGUGGAUGCUGCACCAGGGAGGCACCGCCGCUGCUGCCGUUUGUGGCCCUUUGCCCAGAGAAGCUUAUGGAAGAUACCGACGGC